GGUUGGUCCAAAAGCAGUAAGUUAUCUCGAUUGUUUAUAGUCAGUUACAGAUCAAACUCCUUAUUUUACUCUCACUACUGCACUUGACUACUGUAA
Molecule: Y RNA, 96 nt
Filed under: Aotus nancymaae (Ma's night monkey)
Lineage: Eukaryota; Metazoa; Chordata; Mammalia; Primates; Aotidae
Description: Y RNA (ENSANAG00000010500.1)
Rfam family: Y RNA
About the family: Y RNAs are components of the Ro ribonucleoprotein particle (Ro RNP), in association with Ro60 and La proteins. The Y RNAs and Ro60 and La proteins are well conserved, but the function of the Ro RNP is not known.
Source: RNAcentral